AUAUCAAUGAAGGAAUUAAGACUUAUUAUUUAAUAUACGCAAAAUAAUUGUGGUAUAGACCCACAUUUUUCCAUGUGGAAACUGGGAUUUUUCACAUUUUUGCCAUAGAGGUUAAUCAGCGUUUGGAGAAAGUGAUUAAGGUUAUACAGAUUACAUCACGGACGUAUAGCUGGAUUACUUAAAUUGACAUGCCAGCAAACUCAGAUUUUUUUUGGUUCAGGACUGACCAAGUAGUUCUCAACCCUCAAUUUGCAUAUAUCAACAUUUAAACAGUACACUAAUGAAGAUAUCGAUUACAACCCUUAUGGUGGCGAUAUGCUUAUGCAAAGCUCAUGAAUGUA
Molecule: long non-coding RNA, 341 nt
Organism: Mytilus trossulus (common blue mussel)
Lineage: Eukaryota; Metazoa; Mollusca; Bivalvia; Mytilida; Mytilidae
Exons: 3
Source: RefSeq, a predicted model, not a curated record